AACGCACAUUGCGCCCUUUGGUAUUCCGAGGGGCACGCCUGUUCGAGCGUCAUUUAAACCAUCAAGCCCUGCUUGGUCUUGGACGCGGUCGAGUGACCGGUCCGUAACCCGUUGGCGGUGCAGUCCGGCUUCAAGCGUAGCAAGAAUUUCGCUUCAGGGGUCCGCGGCGGUGUCUGCCAGGAAAACUACUUCCUAAAGUUUGACCUCGGAUCAGGUGAGGAUACCCGCUGAACUUAA
RNAcentral lists this unclassified non-coding RNA (237 nucleotides) under uncultured fungus. Its description in RNAcentral is "sequence contains ITS2". The record is from RNAcentral. Lineage: Eukaryota; Fungi.